RNAcentral lists this ribosomal RNA (711 nucleotides) under uncultured Enterococcus sp. RNAcentral's name for it is "bacterial SSU rRNA". It matches the Rfam family "Bacterial small subunit ribosomal RNA", at positions 801 to 1516 of the family's 1533-position model. The record is from RNAcentral. Lineage: Bacteria; Bacillati; Bacillota; Bacilli; Lactobacillales; Enterococcaceae.
CGUAAACGAUGAGUGCUAAGUGUUGGAGGUUUCCCCUUCAGUGCUGCAGCUAACGCAUUAAGCACUCCGCUGGGGAGUACGACCGCAAGGUUGAAACUCAAAGGAAUUGACGGGGGCCCGCACAAGCGGUGGAGCAUGUGGUUUAAUUCGAAGCAAUGCGAAGAACCUUACCAGGUCUUGACAUCCUUUGACCACUCUAGAGAUAGAGCUUUCCCUUCGGGGACAAAGUGACAGGUGGUGCAUGGUUGUCGUCAGCUCGUGUCGUGAGAUGUUGGGUUAAGUCCCGCAACGAGCGCAACCCUUAUUGUUAGUUGCCAUCAUUCAGUUGGGCACUCUAGCGAGACUGCCGGUGACAAACCGGAGGAAGGUGGGGAUGACGUCAAAUCAUCAUGCCCCUUAUGACCUGGGCUACACACGUGCUACAAUGGGAAGUACAACGAGUCGCUAGGCCGCGAGGUCAUGCAAAUCUCUUAAAGCUUCUCUCAGUUCGGAUUGCAGGCUGCAACUCGCCUGCAUGAAGCCGGAAUCGCUAGUAAUCGCGGAUCAGCACGCCGCGGUGAAUACGUUCCCGGGCCUUGUACACACCGCCCGUCACACCACGAAAGUUUGUAACACCCGAAGUCGGUGAGGUAACCUUUUGGAGCCAGCCGCCUAAGGUGGGAUAGAUGAUUGGGGUGAAGUCGUAACAAGGUAACCAAGGGCGAAUUCCAG